This 253-nucleotide ribosomal RNA is filed under the name uncultured bacterium. Its description in RNAcentral is "partial 16S ribosomal RNA". It matches the Rfam family "Bacterial small subunit ribosomal RNA", at positions 524 to 776 of the family's 1533-position model. The record is from RNAcentral.
GACGUAGGGGGCGAGCGUUGUCCGGAUUUAUUGGGCGUAAAGCGCACGUAGGCGGCUUCAAAAGUCGGAUGUGAAAUCCCGUGGCUCAACCAUGGACGUGCAUUCGAAACUGCGAAGCUUGAGUAUGGAAGAGGGUCGCGGAAUUCCCGGUGUAGAGGUGAAAUUCGUAGAUAUCGGGAGGAACACCAGUGGCGAAGGCGGCGACCUGGGCCAAUACUGACGCUGAGGUGCGAAAGCGUGGGGAGCAAACAGG